GUGGGGCUGGGGUCAGUGGUAGAGUGCUUGCCUAGCAUGUGCAAGGCACUGGGUUCUAUUCUCAGCACCACA
Molecule: transfer RNA, 72 nt
Filed under: Marmota monax (woodchuck)
Lineage: Eukaryota; Metazoa; Chordata; Mammalia; Rodentia; Sciuridae
Description: tRNA.Ala
Source: RNAcentral